GCAGGUAUCUAUGUGUGCAGGUAUCUAUGUGUGCGUGUAUCUAUGUGUGCAGGUAUCUAUGUGUGCAGGUAUCUAUGUGUGCAGGUAUUCAUGUGUGCAGGUAUUCAUGUGUGCAGGUAUUCAUGUGUGCAGGUAUCUAUGUGUGCGUGUAUCUAUGUGUGCGUGUAUCUAUGUGUGCAGGUAUCUAUGUGUGCAGGUAGUCAUGUGUGCAGGUAUUCAUG
Acanthochromis polyacanthus (spiny chromis) is the source of this 221-nucleotide long non-coding RNA. RefSeq lists it as uncharacterized. The transcript is spliced from 3 exons. The record is from RefSeq and is a predicted model, not a curated record. Lineage: Eukaryota; Metazoa; Chordata; Actinopteri; Pomacentridae.